This 721-nucleotide long non-coding RNA is filed under the name Cricetulus griseus (Chinese hamster). RNAcentral's name for it is "lncRNA (ENSCGRG00015032943.1)". The record is from RNAcentral. Lineage: Eukaryota; Metazoa; Chordata; Mammalia; Rodentia; Cricetidae.
UCCAGGGCAGGCUGUUAGAGAAGGGGUUGCUUUUGUGGUGAUAGCUGGUGCCCUUAUAGUGAUUUGGGGUUAAUGAAAUAUUUACCCUGGGCCCCGGUGGUGUGUCCUCAUUUACCGCCAUCUCCUUAGAGCCCAGGGUGGAUAGAAUCUUUUCUGGUGUUUUUCAUAGAGUUCAUCUUUUCUGAAUUCUAGAUUGAAGAGGAAAGCGAGAGAGAAGCCAAUGUCUGCACAAGGAGUUCUCCAUAUGAAGAUGGCUCCAGACAUAUGUGAUGGAGAGUGUCCUUCAGAAACAGAUUAAAACUCCAUCCAUUAUACAGGAAUCAGGAAGCUCUCAAACUAAACUAAACAAGAAGGAAAGAAAUGGAGGGGAAAAAAGUCAACGGGAUACAACAAUGAACAACACCGGGAUUCUUGAGGGGUGAGGCAGGAAUUAAAGUAAAUGUGAUAUUUUUCAUUCCUGAUGUUCAAAAUAACUCAGUUGAAAGAACUGAAGAAGUAGAAGUUUAAGCAAAGGAACUACAAAGGUCCAAGAAAGAUCUGGAAGAUACAAAACAGGAUUAAUGAUAAAGAAGAAAUUAUUUGAAAGUACCAUGAAGUGAUGCCUUACUCAGGAAAAACAGCUCAAAAGAGAACUAAUGUUUUUCAUCAAGAAACUAUGGCAGCCAGAAGAAAAUGCCAAGAACUGAAAGGCAACAUGUAUCAACCCAGACUGCUAUACCAG